UACGUAGGCAGCAAGCGUUGUUCGGAAUUACUGGGCGUAAAGAGUGUGUAGGUGGUGUCGUAAGUUUGGUGUGAAAUCUCCCGGCUUAACUGGGAGGGUGCGCCGAAGACUGCGAUGCUGGAGUAUGGGAGAGGAAAGCGGAAUUCCUGGUGUAGCGGUGAAAUGCGUAGAUAUCGGGAGGAACACCUAUGGCGAAGGCAGCUCGCUGGGACGUUACUGACGCUGAGACGCGAAAGCGUGGGGAGCAAACAGG
RNAcentral lists this ribosomal RNA (253 nucleotides) under uncultured bacterium. Its description in RNAcentral is "partial 16S ribosomal RNA". It matches the Rfam family "Bacterial small subunit ribosomal RNA", at positions 524 to 776 of the family's 1533-position model. The record is from RNAcentral.